Molecule: long non-coding RNA, 1603 nt
Organism: Phascolarctos cinereus (koala)
Lineage: Eukaryota; Metazoa; Chordata; Mammalia; Diprotodontia; Phascolarctidae
Source: Ensembl
GAUAAUUAUAGAUUAGAGUGGGAAGUCCAGUUCUGUCUCUUUCUUUCUUUUAAACAGGAGCAGGUUGGGCACAUUAUGCAGGAGUACAAUGAUGCUGUUCAGAGAGCUGAGAGGCUGGCUGUUGCCAGAGAAAACUUACUCACUGGAAAGAACAGUCCUGGGCACCUGGUAACACAGGAAGAUCUGGUUAUCUAUACCAAGUGGCUAGUAUGUCACCUACAUUCACUUAGAGACAUUCACAGCUACCUGAGGGUGUUACUGUACCUGCCCAGAUCUGAUAGGUUGGAAGUGGCUGUACAGGAACACCCUGAGGUGGGUCAAGAAAAUGGAGAUGUGUACACUAGACAUGUAGCCCCUGAGUCUCUGUCUGCUGACAACCAGAAUUCUGGCUAUCCAGCUUCUUCAGAAACCAGCACUUCAGGGUCAGUCAGAAAAGAAGCUACCACUAUUCUGCCCCACCAUAAAACAGAAGCCGUAGAACUGAAGCCUCAGCUAGGACUCCUUCUGCCUCAUUUCAACAUCUGCUACAACAUAGAGGAUCUAAAGAAUUCUGCUGAUGAGAUGGAGCUCUUUUCCCUGGUACUGGAAAAACUCUGUAUCUAAAAGAGAAGUGUGGAAGCAAGACUGGAGUCCAAGGAAGAGAAAGUGCUCCAAGAGAGUCCCCCCCACAGAGGGGUCCAAAGAGAGAGAGAGAGCUGUUUCCAUAGUCCUUAUAGACCACAGAAGGGGAGAUUCCUCCAACAAGGAGCCUUUCCCCACUGACACUGUCACUCCCAAUCAUCUUCAGCACAGCCCUAGUCAGUGGGAACCAGUCAGAAAUUUCCUGUGCCAUCCCAGCAAGAUGUAUGUCUCUUUGGAAGGGUCCAGAGCACAUGUCUAGCUCCUUGGGAGGUCCUCCAGCUCUAUAAAUUAGGGAUUUCCUUUAUCACUCCAUUAUACAGGGGAAAAAAUAUAUAUAGUUAAUUAAAAACAUUAAACAUCAGUGCAAACAACAAAAUUUAUUUAGCUGCUAUUUAAAUUUAAAUGAUUUUCAUGCAUAAAAUAUCAUAACAUUGUUCAUCAUUCCCUCUGAGUCUCCAUUUAGGAUUUUUAAGGAUUCCUGCUCUCACUACUUUUACUUGGUAUAGUAUGAGGAAAUUCUAUCAACUGUAAUGAGACAGGGGAAAUAUACGAACAAGAUUAACUUUAGAAAAAAAGAGGUCAAAAUAUCAUCUGCAGAUGACAUGAUGGUGUUACCUAGAAAAUCAAUCGCCUCAGCUCAAAGGCAUUUUAGAAUACAAUGUUUGCUAUUGUCCGAGAACCUGGUAAACCAAUGGUCACUUUUUCAAUCACCAAAUUUCUGACACUUCCUCUGGGACUCUCACCUCCCUUUCCCUGUCCAUUUUAAGUUGUUCAGAAGUUUCAGAGCAUAUUCUGUGAACAACAGAGAUGGAAAAUACUUCCAGCCUAUGAUGUCAAGGUGGCUAAAGUUGAAAACCGGAAUUUAUUAAAACCCAGCAUGGCUUUUAAAAAGACAGCCAACUGGAUUCCCUUCACAAAGGUAAAGAUAGCUACCUGCUUCUGGUCUUUUGUCUCUUUAUUGUGGGUUGUGGUAGGGCAACUG